Molecule: unclassified non-coding RNA, 486 nt
Filed under: uncultured Glomus
Lineage: Eukaryota; Fungi; Glomeromycota; Glomeromycetes; Glomerales; Glomeraceae
Description: SSU rRNA
Rfam family: Eukaryotic small subunit ribosomal RNA
Source: RNAcentral
AGCAGCCGCGGUAAUUCCAGCUCCAAUAGCGUAUAUUAAAGUUGUUGCAGUUAAAAGCUCGUAGUUGAAUUUCGGGGUCAGCAAGUUGGUCGUGCCACCGGUAUGUACUGGCUUUGCUGAUUCCUCCUUCUUGUAGAACCGUAAUGCCAUUUAGUUGGUGUUGCGGGGAAACAGGACUGUUACUUUGAAAAAUUAGAGUGUUUAAAGCAGGCUAACGCCUGAAUACAUUAGCAUGGAAUAAUGAAAUAGGACGAGCGAUCCUAUUUUGUUGGUUUCUAGGAUUGACGUAAUGAUUAAUAGGGAUAGUUGGGGGCAUUAGUAUUCAAUUGUCAGAGGUGAAAUUCUUGGAUUUAUUGAAGACUGACUACUGCGAAAGCAUUUGCCAAGGAUGUUUUCAUUAAUCAAGAACGAAAGUUAGGGAUCGAAGACGAUCAGAUACCGUCGUAGUCUUAACCAUAAACUAUGCCGACUAGGGAUCGGAUGAUG